UACGGCCGUACCAUGCUAAAUAUACCGGUUCUCGUUAGAUCACCGAAGUCAAGCAUCAUUGGGCGCGGUCAGUACUUGGGUGGGUGACCACCUGGGAACACUGCGUGCCGUU
This 112-nucleotide ribosomal RNA is filed under the name Caerostris darwini. The record is from RNAcentral. Lineage: Eukaryota; Metazoa; Arthropoda; Arachnida; Araneae; Araneidae.